AAGACUGUAAUUAUAACAAUGUACACUUAUUUAUAGUUGCGAGUGGUGAUCAUUUAUUCAUUUAUUGUGCCUACAUGGGAACAAAACAGUUCUGCUCGGAGAUUACAUUUUUUAGUUUUACUUACGUAACAAGAUAUGAAUAAUAAUAAUAACAAGAUAUUGAUGUGAAACUACUAUUAAUGUUUAGUGUUUACCAAUAAAAUCACAUCACUCAAGGUAUUGGAAACAUAUAUACGAAAUACCGAAUAAUAUAGAUUGCUGAUGGAAAUAUAACGAAAUAAAGUAAUUUGCAAGAAUUUACCCUGUUGACGACUUAUAGUGGAAGACCUAGACAGCGAUGACGCAGUGUCUAGAUUGAGUGAUGCAAGAUUUAAGAGUUGUCGAUGAAUUAGUAGUACUGAAGUCUGGAAUGGACAAAAUGAAUGGAAAAUCUUAGUGAAA
Molecule: long non-coding RNA, 441 nt
Organism: Aphis gossypii (cotton aphid)
Lineage: Eukaryota; Metazoa; Arthropoda; Insecta; Hemiptera; Aphididae
Exons: 3
Source: RefSeq, a predicted model, not a curated record